Molecule: ribosomal RNA, 502 nt
Filed under: Rhodotorula mucilaginosa
Lineage: Eukaryota; Fungi; Basidiomycota; Microbotryomycetes; Sporidiobolales; Sporidiobolaceae
Description: eukaryotic LSU rRNA
Rfam family: Eukaryotic large subunit ribosomal RNA
Source: RNAcentral
CGGCGAGCGAAGCGGGAAGAGCUCAAAUUUAUAAUCUGGCACCUUCGGUGUCCGAGUUGUAAUCUCUAGAAAUGUUUUCCGCGUUGGACCGCACACAAGUCUGUUGGAAUACAGCGGCAUAGUGGUGAGACCCCCGUAUAUGGUGCGGACGCCCAGCGCUUUGUGAUACAUUUUCGAAGAGUCGAGUUGUUUGGGAAUGCAGCUCAAAUUGGGUGGUAAAUUCCAUCUAAAGCUAAAUAUUGGCGAGAGACCGAUAGCGAACAAGUACCGUGAGGGAAAGAUGAAAAGCACUUUGGAAAGAGAGUUAACAGUACGUGAAAUUGUUGGAAGGGAAACGCUUGAAGUCAGACUUGCUUGCCGAGCAAUCGGUUUGCAGGCCAGCAUCAGUUUUCCGGGAUGGAUAAUGGUAGAGAGAAGGUAGCAGUUUCGGCUGUGUUAUAGCUCUCUGCUGGAUACAUCUUGGGGGACUGAGGAACGCAGUGUGCCUUUGGCGGGGGUUUCG